AACCUGGUUGAUCCUGCCAGUAGUCAUAUGCUUGUCUCAAAGAUUAAGCCAUGCAUGUCUAAGUAUAAGCAAUUAUACAGCGAAACUGCGAAUGGCUCAUUAUAUAAGUUAUCGUUUAUUUGAUAGUACCUUACUACUUGGAUAACCGUGGUAAUUCUAGAGCUAAUACAUGCUAAAAAUCCCGACUUCGGAAGGGAUGUAUUUAUUAGAUUAAAAACCAAUGCCCUUCGGGGCUCACUGGUGAUUCAUGAUAACUCCUCGAAUCGCAUGGCCUUGUGCCGGCGAUGGUUCAUUCAAAUUUCUUCCCUAUCAACUUUCGAUGUUUGGGUAUUGGCCAAACAUGGUUGCAACGGGUAACGGAGGGUUAGGGCUCGACCCCGGAGAAGGAGCCUGAGAAACGGCUACUACAUCCAAGGAAGGCAGCAGGCGCGCAAAUUACCAAUCCCGACACGGGGAGGUAGUGACAAUAAAUACUGAUACAGGGCUCUUUUGGGUCUUGUAAUUGGAAUGAGUACAAUUUAAAUCCCUUAACGAGGAACAAUUGGAGGGCAAGUCUGGUGCCAGCAGCCGCGGUAAUUCCAGCUCCAAUAGCGUAUAUUAAAGUUGUUGUGGUUAAAAAGCUCGUAGUUGAACCUUGGGCCUGGCUGGCCGGUCCGCCUCACCGCGUGUACUGGUCCGGCCGGGCCUUUCCCUCUGUGGAACCCCAUGCCCUUCACUGGGUGUGGCGGGGAAACAGGACUUUUACUGUGAAAAAAUUAGAGUGCUCCAGGCAGGCCUAUGCUCGAAUACAUUAGCAUGGAAUAAUAGAAUAGGACGUGUGGUUCUAUUUUGUUGGUUUCUAGGACCGCCGUA
This 852-nucleotide ribosomal RNA is filed under the name uncultured Ascomycota. RNAcentral's name for it is "SSU rRNA". It matches the Rfam family "Eukaryotic small subunit ribosomal RNA", at positions 1 to 864 of the family's 1831-position model. The record is from RNAcentral. Lineage: Eukaryota; Fungi; Ascomycota.